CGGGUGAGUAAUGCGUGACCAACCUGCCCCAUGCUCCAGAAUAGCUCUUGGAAACGGGUGGUAAUGCUGGAUGCUCCAACUUGACGCAUGUCUUGUUGGGAAAGUGUUUAAUGGCAUGGGAUGGGGUCGCGUCCUAUCAGCUUGUAGGCGGGGUAAUGGCCCACCUAGGCUUCGACGGGUAGCCGGCCUGAGAGGGCGGACGGCCACAUUGGGACUGAGAUACGGCCCAGACUCCUACGGGAGGCAGCAGCG
This 252-nucleotide ribosomal RNA is filed under the name uncultured Gardnerella sp. Its description in RNAcentral is "partial 16S ribosomal RNA". It matches the Rfam family "Bacterial small subunit ribosomal RNA", at positions 103 to 356 of the family's 1533-position model. Lineage: Bacteria; Bacillati; Actinomycetota; Actinomycetes; Bifidobacteriales; Bifidobacteriaceae. The record is from RNAcentral.